GGGUUGUGAGGUUAAGCGACUAAGCGUACACGGUGGAUGCCCUGGCAGUCAGAGGCGAUGAAGGACGUGCUAAUCUGCGAAAAGCGCCGGCGAGGUGAUAUGAACCUUUGACCCGGCGAUGUCCGAAUGGGGAAACCCAGUGUGAUUCGUCACACUAUCGUUAACUGAAUACAUAGGUUAACGAGGCGAACCGGGGGAACUGAAACAUCUAAGUACCCCGAGGAAAAGAAAUCAACCGAGAUUCCCCCAGUAGCGGCGAGCGAACGGGGAGCAGCCCAGAGUCUGAAUCAGCUUGUGUGUUAGUGGAAGCGUCUGGAAAGUCGCACGGUACAGGGUGACAGUCCCGUACACGAAAGCACACAGGCUGUGAACUCGAAGAGUAGGGCGGGACACGUGGUAUCCUGUCUGAAUAUGGGGGGACCAUCCUCCAAGGCUAAAUACUCCUGACUGACCGAUAGUGAACCAGUACCGUGAGGGAAAGGCGAAAAGAACCCCGGCGAGGGGAGUGAAAAAGAACCUGAAACCGUGUACGUACAAGCAGUGGGAGCCUCUUUUAUGGGGUGACUGCGUACCUUUUGUAUAAUGGGUCAGCGACUUAUAUUCUGUAGCAAGGUUAACCGUAUAGGGGAGCCGAAGGGAAACCGAGUCUUAACUGGGCGUUAAGUUGCAGGGUAUAGACCCGAAACCCGGUGAUCUAGCCAUGGGCAGGUUGAAGGUUGGGUAACACUAACUGGAGGACCGAACCGACUAAUGUUGAAAAAUUAGCGGAUGACUUGUGGCUGGGGGUGAAAGGCCAAUCAAACCGGGAGAUAGCUGGUUCUCCCCGAAAGCUAUUUAGGUAGCGCCUCGUGAACUCAUCUUCGGGGGUAGAGCACUGUUUCGGCUAGGGGGCCAUCCCGGCUUACCAACCCGAUGCAAACUACGAAUACCGAAGAAUGUUAUCACGGGAGACACACGGCGGGUGCUAACGUCCGUCGUGAAGAGGGAAACAACCCAGACCGCCAGCUAAGGUCCCAAAGUCAUGGUUAAGUGGGAAACGAUGUGGGAAGGCACAGACAGCCAGGAUGUUGGCUUAGAAGCAGCCAUCAUUUAAAGAAAGCGUAAUAGCUCACUGGUCGAGUCGGCCUGCGCGGAAGAUGUAACGGGGCUAAACCAUGCACCGAAGCUGCGGCAGCGACGCUUAUGCGUUGUUGGGUAGGGGAGCGUUCUGUAAGCCGUUGAAGGUGUCCUGUGAGGGGUGCUGGAGGUAUCAGAAGUGCGAAUGCUGACAUAAGUAACGAUAAAGCGGGUGAAAAGCCCGCUCGCCGGAAGACCAAGGGUUCCUGUCCAACGUUAAUCGGGGCAGGGUGAGUCGACCCCUAAGGCGAGGCCGAAAGGCGUAGUCGAUGGGAAACAGGUUAAUAUUCCUGUACUUGGUGUUACUGCGAAGGGGGGACGGAGAAGGCUAUGUUAGCCGGGCGACGGUUGUCCCGGUUUAAGCAUGUAGGCGGAGGUUCCAGGUAAAUCCGGUUCCUUGUUAACGCUGAGGUGUGAUGACGAGGCACUACGGUGCUGAAGUAACAAAUGCCCUGCUUCCAGGAAAAGCCUCUAAGCAUCAGGUAACAUCAAAUCGUACCCCAAACCGACACAGGUGGUCAGGUAGAGAAUACCAAGGCGCUUGAGAGAACUCGGGUGAAGGAACUAGGCAAAAUGGUGCCGUAACUUCGGGAGAAGGCACGCUGAUAUGUAGGUGAAGCCCCUGCGGGUGGAGCUGAAAUCAGUCGAAGAUACCAGCUGGCUGCAACUGUUUAUUAAAAACACAGCACUGUGCAAACACGAAAGUGGACGUAUACGGUGUGACGCCUGCCCGGUGCCGGAAGGUUAAUUGAUGGGGUUAGCGGUAACGCGAAGCUCUUGAUCGAAGCCCCGGUAAACGGCGGCCGUAACUAUAACGGUCCUAAGGUAGCGAAAUUCCUUGUCGGGUAAGUUCCGACCUGCACGAAUGGCGUAAUGAUGGCCAGGCUGUCUCCACCCGAGACUCAGUGAAAUUGAACUCGCUGUGAAGAUGCAGUGUACCCGCGGCAAGACGGAAAGACCCCGUGAACCUUUACUAUAGCUUGACACUGAACACUGGUCCUUGAUGUGUAGGAUAGGUGGGAGGCUUUGAAGCGUGGACGCCAGUCUGCGUGGAGCCAACCUUGAAAUACCACCCUUUAAUGGCUGGUGUUCUAACGUAGACCCGUAAUCCGGGUUGCGGACAGUGUCUGGUGGGUAGUUUGACUGGGGCGGUCUCCUCCCAAAGAGUAACGGAGGAGCACGAAGGUUAGCUAAUCCUGGUCGGACAUCAGGAGGUUAGUGCAAUGGCAUAAGCUAGCUUGACUGCGAGAGUGACGGCUCGAGCAGGUGCGAAAGCAGGUCAUAGUGAUCCGGUGGUUCUGAAUGGAAGGGCCAUCGCUCAACGGAUAAAAGGUACUCCGGGGAUAACAGGCUGAUACCGCCCAAGAGUUCAUAUCGACGGCGGUGUUUGGCACCUCGAUGUCGGCUCAUCACAUCCUGGGGCUGAAGUAGGUCCCAAGGGUAUGGCUGUUCGCCAUUUAAAGUGGUACGCGAGCUGGGUUUAGAACGUCGUGAGACAGUUCGGUCCCUAUCUGCCGUGGGCGCUGGAGAAUUGAGGGGGGCUGCUCCUAGUACGAGAGGACCGGAGUGGACGCAUCACUGGUGUUCGGGUUGUCAUGCCAAUGGCACUGCCCGGUAGCUAAAUGCGGAAGAGAUAAGUGCUGAAAGCAUCUAAGCACGAAACUUGCCCCGAGAUGAGUUCUCCCUGAGACUUUAAGUCUCCUGAAGGAACGUUGAAGACUACGACGUUGAUAGGUCGGGUGUGUAAGCGCAGCGAUGCGUUGAGCUAACCGAUACUAAUGAACCGUGAGGCUUAACCUUACAACGCCGAAGGUGUUU
Molecule: ribosomal RNA, 2934 nt
Filed under: Enterobacter sp. RHBSTW-00131
Lineage: Bacteria; Pseudomonadati; Pseudomonadota; Gammaproteobacteria; Enterobacterales; Enterobacteriaceae
Description: 23S ribosomal RNA
Rfam family: Bacterial large subunit ribosomal RNA
Source: RNAcentral